GAAAAUGAAACCGGGUAAAGGCGCCUGGGCCUCUCCCAGGUCAAGGGUCUCGGGGUCCCGCGGUUUCGGGGAGGAUCUCGGACCCAGAGACUCGAGGCGACCCGGCCCUCCGUGGGGGAUGGGGAGGGGUCGUGACCUGCGUCCCGGGCCGGGGUCACUCACCGCCCUCGCUCUGGUUGUAGUAGCGGAGCGCGAUCCGCAGGUUCUCUCGUUCAGUCCGUGCUUGGGCCUUGCAGAUCUGUGUGUUCCGGUCCCAAUACUCCGGCCCCUCCCGCUCCAUCCACGGCGCCCGCGGCUCCUCUCUCGGACUCGCGUCGUCGCUGUCGAACCGCACGAACUGCGUAUAGUCCACGUAGCCGACGGAGAUGAAGCGGGGCUCCCCGCGGCCGGGCCGGGACAUGGUGGUGUAGAAAUACCUCAUGGAGUGGGAGCCUGGGAGCGAGGAGGAGCUGAGACCCGCCCGACCCUCCUCCCUGCGCGGCUCCCUGGGUCCUGCGCCCCCGCCGGGCGGGCCCCUCGCUCCUCCCGACCAUUUCCCUGCAGACCCUGCACUCACGCGCCCAGGUCUGGGUCAGGGCCCCUGAGAGCAGCAGGAGGAGGGUUCGGGGCGCCAUGAGCACCAUCCUCGGCGUCUGGGGAGAAUCUGAGUCCCGGUGGGUGCGUGGGGACUUUAGAACCGGGACCGCGGCGGCACCGAUUGGCUUCUCUAGAAACCCGACACCUAGUGGGAAUGAGAACUGUGCCCGCUUCGUGAGUAUCCAGGAAAAAGGACCCGUCGCAGGUUGUGAGAAGAAGAGAAACUGCGGAGGUGGCGAAUCCCCAAGGCGGGGCCUCCCCAAUCCAUACACCGCCUUCGGGGCCUGAGACCCUGAGAGCCACGCCUGGGGCCCUGGGACUUCGCCCUGACCCCGCUCCUCCUGUGCCAAGCGCUCUGUCUCAGUGUUUCCCUGAGUCUUGGCCCAGGAGCUGUCUGAGAAACCAGGAAGAAACCCUCGGCAUGGGCCCUGUCCCUCUCCCUUCACUUUUCAUCCAGGAAUCUCCGUCCCUGAACUGGACUCCCUGUCCACCUGGACUCUUCUAGAAGAAAAGUCACCCACGGAGUUUGGUGACAGAGAGUGAGCUUGCUUUGGGAAUGGAGUGGUCCUGCUCCUGGGAGUCGGAGUGUGUCAUCUCUCCACUUAAAACACUCCAGUGUCUCCACCUCGGUCUUGAGAAACUUCUGGAGUGUCAGGCACGUGAGCAUAUGAGGGGAUAUCUGGUUUAUCGUAGGGACUAAAUUAAUUUUUGUCGACUGAAUGAAUGAAAUAUGAGUGUAUUAAAUUGCAUUACAGAUAAUUACAAAGUGCAAAACACGGAAAAAGUUCAGAAAAUUUUUAUUUUAUGUAACUAGUGUGCAUAUCAAUUCAUCAAUUCAUUCGUGCACUACCAUGCCUGGCGAAACAACACCCAUUUAUCUGCUUAUAGUUCCUUGAUCAGAAAUCUGGGCAAAAUUGUGGAUGGAAUCUCUCUUCUGGGCUUCCAAAAGCUGUGUUUUCAUUUUGAAUCCUCCUUCAGGCUUAUACAGAGGUGGCAGAAUGCAGUUUCUGGCAGUUGUAAGACUGAGGUCCCUGUUCCUUGCUGGCUGUCAAUGUAGAGAACAGGGAGGGCUGUGCUCGAUUCCUGGUCCUCACCAGCAUUCUUUCCUACACAGCCCCUUCAUUUUUUAUUUUAUUUAUUUAUUUUUUGGAGAUGGAGUCUUGCUCUGUAGCCCAGGCUUGGGUGCAGUGGCCGGAUCUCGGCUCACUGCCAGCUAUGGCUCCCAGGUUCACGCCAUUCUCCUGUCUCAGCCUCCCAAGCAGCUGGGACUACAGGCACCCGCCACUACGCUUGGCUAAUUUUUUUUUUUUUUUUUUUGUAUUCUUAGUAGAGACAGGGUUUCACCAUGUUAGCCAGGAUGGUCUCAAUCUCCUGACCUCAUGAUCCGCCCGCCUCAGCCUCCCAAAGUGCUGGGAUUACAGGCGUGAGGCACCGCACCUGGCCCACAGCCCUUUCAUUUUCAAAGCCCAUGCUGGAGGAAACCCCUCAUGCUGAGUCCCUCUCACACUGUGAGUCUCUAUGCUCAGGAAGAACCCAGUCCUUUCAAGGUCUCACCUGAUUAGGACAGUCCAAGCAGGAUAAACCCAGCCUAAAGUCAACUAAUUGAGACCCUUAAUUAUAUCCACUAACUCCCUUCACAGCAGCACCUACAUUAGAGUUGAUUGAAUAACUGGAGGAUGGUGAAUGACCAGGAGCUGGUUGUUGAGGGCAUAAUAGAAUCAGCCUAGCAAGGGUUGGAUCUUCCUUUUGUGUUUACUUCGGACACAGUUGGAAAUUGAAGUUCAAGUAAAGUGAUCAUUGUGAAUGGUCAUAAAAUACAUCCUCUUCAGCCAUGGAAAUUCUCCUUACCUUUUAAAACUAAGUUACAUGUUUAAUAUCUUAUAAUUAAUUUACGCCAGGUAUGGUGGCUCACGCCUGCCAUCCUAGCACUGUGGAAGGCAGAGGAAGGCAGAUUUGUUGACUCCAGAAGUUCAAGAUCAGCCUGGGCAAAACCCCCAUCUAUACAAAAAAUUAGAAAAUUAGCCAGGCAUAGUAGUUCAUGAUGGUAGUCCCAGCUACUCAGGAGGCUGAGAUCAGUGGGUCCCUUGAACCCAGGAGGUCGACACUGCAGUGCAUGGUGAUCAUGCCACUGCACUCCAGCCUGGGUGACAGAGCGAGACUGUGUCUCAAAAAUAAUAAUGAUGACGAUGAUACAUUUAAAGCAAAUGCAAUUUAAUGUGUAAUAAUACAUCCUCUCUUGUGAAAAUGUGUUAUUUAUUUACUAUUGCAUAACAAAUUAUGUAAAACUUAGCUUAAAACAACAAAUAUUCCUCAUCUGCCACAGUUUCCAAUGGUCAGGAGUCCAGGAGAGGUUUCCCUGAGUGCUUCUUGCUCGGGGCCUCUCACAAGGUUGCAGUCCAAUUGUCAGCCAAGGGCUGCAUCAUCUGAGGGCUUCACUGGGGCUGAGGAUUCACAUGAAACAUGGAUCAGUCACAUGGCUGUUGGAAAAGGCCUAGUUCUUUGUUGUCUGGUCCCGGAAGGCCUCAGUUCUCAGCCACAUGGACCUUCCUGCAGGGCUGCUUGUGGCACAGCAGCUGGCUUCCCCCAGAGCUCAUGAUCCCAGAGACAGAGAGAGAGAAGGUGGAAGCCGCAGUGAGUUUUAGGUUCUACACCCAGAGUUACAAACCAUUAUGUCAGCAUUAUUCUAUAAGUUAGAAGUUAUAUUAGUCCAUUCUCACACUGCUAUGAAGAAGUACCUGAGACUGGGUAAUUUAUAAAGGAAAGAGGUUUAAUUGACUCACAGUUCUGCAUGGCUGAGGAGCCUGCCCCAGGAAACUUACAGUCAUGGCAGAAGUGGAAGCAAACACAUCCUUCUUCACAUGAUGACAGGAGAGAGAAGUGCAGAAUGAAGCAGGGAAAAGCCCCUUAUAAAACCAUCAGAUCUCAUGAGAAUUCCCUCAGUAUCACGAGAACAGCAUGGGGGCACCACCCCCAUUAUCCAAUCACCUCCCAUGUGGUCCCUCCCCCAAUAGGUAGCGAUUACAAUUCGCAUAACAAUUCAAGAUGAGAUUUGGGUGGGAACACAGAACCAGGCCAUAUCAGAAGUGCCUCAUUAAGUCCAAGCCACACUCAGGAGAGGGAAUUAAGAUGCACCUCUGGAAGGGAACAGUAUCAAAUGUUUUGAAUAUAUGUUAAAAGCAAAAUUAUAACUAUUGUUUCAGGUUUUUGAAAAUCAAAGACUUCUUUUAUCUAAUUAUUUUUCAUUAACUCUUUCAGCUUGUCUUUUUCUUUAAGCUUGUCUUUUAAUUUAAUUUUUUUUAAGUUCCAGGGUACACGUGCAGGAUGUGCAGGUUUGUUACAUAGGUAAACAUGUGCCAUGUUGGUUUGCUGCACCUGUCAACUCAUCACCUAGGUAUUAACCCUGGCAUGCAUUAGCUAUUUUUGCUAAUGAUCCUCCCACCACCACCCUGCCCCAAUAGGCCCCAGUGUGUGUUGUUCCUCUCCCUGUGUCCAUGUGUUCUCAUUACUCAGUUCCCAAUUAUAAAUGAGAACAUGUGGUGUUUGGUUUUCCGUUCCUGUGUGAGUUUGCUGAGGAUAAUGGCUUCCAGCUUCAUCCAUAUCCCUGCAAAGGACUUGAUCUCCUUCCUUUUUAUGGCUGCAUAAUAUUCCAUGGUGUAUAUGUACCACAUUUUCUUUAUCCAGUUCAUCAUUGAUGGGCAUUUGGGUUGAUUCCAUGUGUUUGCUAUUGUGAAUAGUGCUGCCAUGAAUGUAAACAUGCAUGUAUCUUUAUAAUAGAAUGAUUUGUAUUCCUUUGGGUAUAUACCCUGUAAUGCGAUUGCUGGAUCAAAUGGUAUUUCUGAUUCUAAAUCUCUGAGGAAUCACCACACUGUCACUGUCUUCCACAAUGGAUUAACCGAUUGACUUUUCCACCAACAGUGUAAAAGCAUUCCUAUUUCUCUGCAACCUCGCCAGCAUCUGUUGUUUCUUGACUUUUUAAUAAUUGCCAUUCUGACUGACAUGAGAUGGUAUCUCAUUUGUGGUUUUGAUUUGCAUUUCUCUAAUGAUCAGCGAUGUUGAGCUUUUUUUCAUAUUUUUGUUGGCCACAUGUAUGUCUUCUUUAGAAGUGUCUGUUCAAGUUCUUUGUCUACUUUUUAAUGAAGUUUUUUUUUCAUGUAAAUUUGCUUAAGUUCUUUGUGGAUUCUGAAUACUAGACUUUUGUCAGAUGGAUAGACUGCAAAAUUUUUCUCCCAUUCUGUAGGAUGUCUGUUCACUGUGAUUGAUGAUAGUUUCUUUUGCUGUGCAGAAAAAAAUGCCUAUCAAAUUGCUUUUCAUUUACAAAAAUGUGAAUCUCAUACUUCAGUAAACUUUAUUUUACUUUAGUAAAAAUUAUUAGCAUGAUGCCAAUAAUUUUGGCUUGAUGCUGUAGCCCGAAAUGGUUAGUUCUAAUUGAGAAACAAGUUUUUUUCAAAAACUGGCUAUUUGACGGGCAUUCUAUAAUAAACUUAACAUCUUUUGUUGUGGUAUUGAAUGAGAUGUGAUAGAAGUGAUUUGGACACCACUAUGAUUCUAAAUAGUGCUGCUAUUACAUGCUUCUGAAUUUUUUUUUCUUUUUAGCAGUCCUAUUCUGUUUUCCAUUCAUAUUUGCUAUUCCAUCACUGGGUAUUCCUCCCUACUCUUUUCAUGUUUCAUUUAUUUUGAUCAAUGAUGUGCAUUUCCAAUCUGUAAAAGUUUAUUUCAGUUUAAUGUGUGGUAAAAUGUAACAUCAAAUCUUUGGAAGAUGAAAUUAUCUUGCACAGCAGAUUGAACAUUGUAUCAUUGAAAAUCUAGAGAGAUGCCAGGGAGCCAAGGAUCAAAUGACCUAUUUGUAGCCAAUGCCAUUUUCAUGGCAUCCUGGUCCUCUCUGUCACAUGGCUCCUUACAAUUCUCUGUGGUUUUCUUCCAAUGUAAGUAGUUCUUGUUAAGAAUCUUUGCAAUGAACUUUGAAAUUCUUUUCUUUUUCAUUUCUAUAAAAAACAGGUAUAUUUUAAUUUGGAAAACUCUGUUUAAGGAAUUAUAAUCAAGUAUCUACCAGGGUGCCCAGCACUGGUGUAAAACACAAACCUGUAAAGCUACCCUGGGCUGCUACCCAGUCACCCCAUAGAAGGAGACCGUUGGGAGCAAGUCCCCCAAAAUCUGGCCAUAAACUGGCCCCAAGACUGGCCAUAAACAAAAUCUCUGCAGCACCGUAACAUGUUCAUAAUGGCCCUAAUGUCCAAGCUGGAAGGUUGCGGGUUUACAAGAAUGAGGGAAAGGAACACCUGGCCUGCCCAGGGCGGAAAACCGCUUAAAGGCAUUCUUAAGCCACAAACAAUAGCAUGAGCGAUCUGUGUCUUAAGGGUGUGUUCCUGCUGCAGUUAACUAGCCCAACCUAUUCCUUUAAUUCGGCCCAUCCCUUUGCUUCCUAUAAGGGAUACUUUUAGUUAAUUUAAUACCUAUAGAAACAACACUAAUGACCGGUUUGCUGUUAAUAAAUAUGUGGGUAAAUAUCUGUUUGGGGCUCUCAGCUCUGAAGACUGUGAGACCCCCGAUUUCCCACUUCACACCUCUAUAUUUCUGUGUGUGUGUCUUUAAGUCCUCUAGCACCACUGGGUUAGGGUCUUCCUGACCGAGCUGGUCUCGGCAGGAGACUCCAUCCUGAGUCUUCUGAUACGUAUUCCUUUGUAUUCCUUCAAAGAUUUGUGCAAUAAGUAUAUCUAUAUCUCCCCAAAACAAACCUCAGUUAGUUUUGCUGGUUUUUAAGCUUCCUGUACAGCAAAUUCCUACUGCAUGUAUUUUCCCAUGAUACACAUUAUGUGUAGGAGUUAUCUGUGGUGUGGGAGGCUGUCAUUCAUUCAUUUUUACGGCUGAAGGCUUACAUAUCGUUUUACCACAAUUUCACCAGUUUCCUAUUGAUGUACAUGUGGCCGAUUCCAGUUUUUGCCAUAAAUAUUAGUGUGCAUGUCUCCUGUGCACAUAGGCAAGAAAGCCCCAAAGCCCCCAGAGUGGAUGAUUAGGAAUGGGUUGGUUGCAUGAUACAUUGUAUGGACUUUAACCAUACUAGAUAAUGAUAAUAUGAUUUCCAAAGUAAUUGUGGCUACUUAAACUUUUACAAUAAAUGUGUAAUACUUGAUGUUGAUGAUGUGUUCUGAAAACACUGAGUUGAAGGAAUUGUGUUAAAAGUCACCGUCUUGGUGGUAGAAUUAUAGCAAGCAUUUUUAUUCUGUUAAUAACUUCCUGUUGUUUACUUGUUUCUCAUAUAAAAGACAUUAUGCUUUUGA
Molecule: long non-coding RNA, 6851 nt
Organism: Homo sapiens (human)
Lineage: Eukaryota; Metazoa; Chordata; Mammalia; Primates; Hominidae
Exons: 2
Source: RefSeq, a predicted model, not a curated record